GUGUCAGCAGCCGCGGUAAUACGGAGGGUGCAAGCGUUGUCCGGAAUUAUUGGGCGUAAAGCGCGCGCAGGCGGUUCCUUAAGUCUGAUGUGAAAGGCCACAGCUCAACUGUGGAGGGCCAUUGGAAACUGGGGAACUUGAGGACAGAAGAGGAGAGCGGAAUUCCACGUGUAGCGGUGAAAUGCGUAGAUAUGUGGAGGAACACCAGUGGCGAAGGCGGCUCUCUGGUCUGUAACUGACGCUGAGGCGCGAAAGCAUGGGUAGCGAACAGG
RNAcentral lists this ribosomal RNA (272 nucleotides) under uncultured prokaryote. Its description in RNAcentral is "partial 16S ribosomal RNA". It matches the Rfam family "Bacterial small subunit ribosomal RNA", at positions 505 to 776 of the family's 1533-position model. The record is from RNAcentral.